Molecule: long non-coding RNA, 1171 nt
Filed under: Panax ginseng (ginseng)
Lineage: Eukaryota; Viridiplantae; Streptophyta; Magnoliopsida; Apiales; Araliaceae
Description: long non-coding RNA (PGIN_LNC017293)
Source: RNAcentral
CCUGUACAAGCACAACCACAUUUUCUAUCAGUAACUAAUCUCUUGUUCAGAUUGCGUCAAUCAAAACUUUGGAUGCCAAUCCUUCUUUGUAAAAUAUAUGACAAUAAUUUCAGCAGAAAUGCUAGUUCAAAAUGCUGCUAUCUGCGUUCGAAUUAAUUGACCCAAAAGAGUGCUUGUGGCAAUGAUUUUCCGAUCAUCUUAAAAUUCAUAAAAGAAAAUCAAUUGGACUAUAUCUUUUUCCGGGACUUGUCAAAUAAAAAUGUUCAUGUUCAAGUGUUCACAAAAUGGUAGUAUUAAAAUAUCUUCAACAAUUAAAAAUUAAAAUUUUAUUUUGCAAGAAAUAACUUUUCAACAACAAAUUCUCAUUUAAAAAGAAAACUAGUAGUAGUCCCAUAAUUGAUUGGGUUAAAAGUACUUAAUAUACAUAUAGAUCCACCAGUCACACCUGGUUCCACUCAUCAACCAAAAACUUACCAAACAAAACGAGUACAACACCCAAUUCUAAAAGCCUGUUCAGGCGCAUGUAAGCCCCAGCUCAUUCGUGGUGCUAACAUAGGCCACACAACCUCCGGUACUAUUUUUCGUCCGGUACCGAUGACCAACAAAUGUGCUAACAGAUAGAGAAGGAUAAAGAAUUAAGCAUACCGAUAGGAUGGAUAAAGAAUUAACUAUUAAACAUACCGAUAGGAUUGACGUUGCCCCAGUAAGUCUCGACUUGUGGGUGUUGCAGAGGAUCUCCGUACACCUCACUGGUGCUCGUUAGCAAGAACCGCGCACCGAUCCUCUUUGCCAGACCAAGCAUGUUUAACGUACCCACCACAUUUGUCUUGUAAAAUCCCCAGAUCAAUAAAAAAUUAAGGAGUCUAAAAUAAAAUUUGAAUCAUUCUUAAUGCUAACCACCAAAAAAAGCAAUGAACAAAAAAAACAAGAGGAUAUAAUUGUCUUGACAGGGUUAAACUUGUAAUGAACAGGAGAAGCAGGGCAAGCAAGAUGAUAGAUCUGAUCUACUUCCAACAGCAACGGCUCAACGACGUCGUGUCGGAUUAGCUCGAACCUAGGGUUUCCAAAAUGAUGCAUCACAUUCUCCUUCCUCCCCGUGAAGAAAUUAUCCACCACGAUCACGCUAUCCCCUCUCGCAAUCAGACGAUCCACCAGGUGGCUACCAACAAAC